This 73-nucleotide transfer RNA is filed under the name Ailuropoda melanoleuca (giant panda). It matches the Rfam family "tRNA". Rfam says of the family: Transfer RNA (tRNA) molecules are approximately 80 nucleotides in length. Their secondary structure includes four short double-helical elements and three loops (D, anti-codon, and T loops). Further hydrogen bonds mediate the characteristic L-shaped molecular structure. tRNAs have two regions of fundamental functional importance: the anti-codon, which is responsible for specific mRNA codon recognition, and the 3' end, to which the tRNAs corresponding amino acid is attached (by aminoacyl-tRNA synthetases). tRNAs cope with the degeneracy of the genetic code in two manners: having more than one tRNA (with a specific anti-codon) for a particular amino acid; and 'wobble' base-pairing, i.e. permitting non-standard base-pairing at the 3rd anti-codon position. Lineage: Eukaryota; Metazoa; Chordata; Mammalia; Carnivora; Ursidae. The record is from Rfam by way of RNAcentral.
ACCUGGUUGGCUCAGUAGGCAGAGCAUGAGUUUCCUGAUCUCAGGGUCAUGAGUUCAAGCCCCAUGUUGAGCA